UCGAGGGGCAGCGGGGUAGUGCUUGCACUACUGCCGGCGACCGGCGCACGGGUGAGUAACACGUAUGGAACCUGCCCGCAGCAGGGGGAUAAGCGGAAGAAAUUCCGUCUAAUACCGCGUAACAACGUUGGGAGGCAUCUCCCGAUGUUUAAAGAUUUAUCGGCUGCGGAUGGCCAUGCGGCGCAUUAGCUAGUCGGCGGGGUAACGGCCCACCGAGGCGACGAUGCGUAGGGGUUCUGAGAGGAAGGUCCCCCACACUGGUACUGAGACACGGACCAGACUCCUACGGGAGGCAGCAGUGAGGAAUAUUGGUCAAUGGCCGAGAGGCUGAACCAGCCAAGUCGCAUGAGGGAAGACGGCCCUACGGGUUGUAAACCUCUUUUGUCGGGGAGCAAAGCGAACCACGUGUGGUUCAUUGAGAGUACCCGAAGAAAAAGCAUCGGCUAACUCCGUGCCAGCAGCCGCGGUAAUACGGAGGAUGCGAGCGUUAUCCGGAUUUAUUGGGUUUAAAGGGUGCGCAGGCGGAGGUGCAAGUCAGCGGUCAAAUUGCGGGGCUCAACCCCGUACUGCCGUUGAAACUGCAUCCCUUGAGUGCGCGAGAAGUAUGCGGAAUGCGUGGUGUAGCGGUGAAAUGCAUAGAUAUCACGCAGAACUCCGAUUGCGAAGGCAGCAUACCGGCGCGCAACUGACGCUCAUGCACGAAAGCGUGGGUAUCGAACAGGAUUAGAUACCCUGGUAGUCCACGCAGCAAACGAUGAACACUAACUGUUCGGCCAGAAUGAUGGCUGAGUGGUACAGCGAAAGCGUUAAGUGUUCCACCUGGGGAGUACGCCGGCAACGGUGAAACUCAAAGGAAUUGACGGGGGCCCGCACAAGCGGAGGAACAUGUGGUUUAAUUCGAUGAUACGCGAGGAACCUUACCCGGGCUCAAACGACACAGGAAUACUUUUGAAAGGAGGUAGCCCUACGGGGUCUGUGUCGAGGUGCUGCAUGGUUGUCGUCAGCUCGUGCCGUGAGGUGUCGGCUUAAGUGCCAUAACGAGCGCAACCCCUAUCGCCAGUUACCAUCAAGUAAAGUUGGGGACUCUGGCGAGACUGCCGGCGCAAGCUGAGAGGAAGGCGGGGAUGACGUCAAAUCAGCACGGCCCUUACGUCCGGGGCGACACACGUGUUACAAUGGCAGGUACAGAGAGAAGCCAGGUGGCGACACCGCGCGGAACUCGGAAGCCUGUCUCAGUUCGGAUCGGAGUCUGCAACCCGACUCCGUGAAGCUGGAUUCGCUAGUAAU
This 1287-nucleotide ribosomal RNA is filed under the name uncultured bacterium. RNAcentral's name for it is "bacterial SSU rRNA". It matches the Rfam family "Bacterial small subunit ribosomal RNA", at positions 62 to 1342 of the family's 1533-position model. The record is from RNAcentral.